RNAcentral lists this ribosomal RNA (494 nucleotides) under uncultured bacterium. Its description in RNAcentral is "partial 16S ribosomal RNA". It matches the Rfam family "Bacterial small subunit ribosomal RNA", at positions 28 to 507 of the family's 1533-position model. The record is from RNAcentral.
GACGAACGCUGGCGGCGUGCUUAACACAUGCAAGUCGAACGGAAAGGCCUGCUUUCCCUUGUGGAUUGCGGGUACUCGAGUGGCGAACGGGUGAGUAACACGUGAGUGAUCUGCCCCCAACUUGGGUAUAAGCCUGGGAAACUGGGUCUAAUUCCCGAUAGGACUGCAGGGUGGUGCCUGUGGUGGAAAACGAUUUUCUAGUGGUUGGGGAUGAGCUCGCGGCCUAUCAGCUUGUUGGUGGGGUAAUGGCCUACCAAGGCGGCGACGGGUAGCCGGCCUGAGAGGGUGGACGGCCACAUUGGGACUGGGUUACGGCCCAGACUCCUACGGGAGGCAGCAGUGGGGAAUAUUGCACAAUGGGCGGAAGCCUGAUGCAGCGACGCCGCGUGGGGGAUGACGGCCUUCGGGUUGUAAACUCCUUUCGACCGCGAGGAAGCCACCUGGUUGGAAGGGUGGUGACGGUAGUGGUAGAAGAAGCACCGGCUAACUACGUG